CACCUGGUUGAUCCUGCCAGUAGUCAUAUGCUUGUCUCAAAGAUUAAGCCAUGCAUGUCUAAGUAUAAGCUUUAAACGGCGAAACUGCGAAUGGCUCAUUAAAACAGUUAUAGUUUAUUUGGUGAUCGAUUACUAUUUGGAUAACCGUAGUAAUUCUAGAGCUAAUACAUGCGUCAAGGCCCGACUUCGGAAGGGCUGCGUUUAUUAGAUACAGAACCAACCUAGGCUCCGCCUAGUCCUUGUUGGUGAUUCAUAAUAACCCGGCGAAUCGCACGGCUUGUCCGGCGAUGGACCAUUCAAGUUUCUGACCUAUCAGCUAUGGACGGUAGGGUAUUGGCCUACCGUGGCGUUGACGGGUAACGGGGAAUUAGGGUCGAUUCCGAGAGGGAGCUGAGAAACGGCUACACAUCUAAGAAGCAGCAGCGCGCAAUUACCCAUCUGAUACAGGAGUAGUGACAGAAUAACAUACAGGCAUUGUCUGUCUUGUAUUGGAUGAGUAGA
Molecule: non-coding RNA, 501 nt
Filed under: Perkinsus marinus ATCC 50983
Lineage: Eukaryota; Perkinsozoa; Perkinsida; Perkinsidae
Description: Eukaryotic small subunit ribosomal RNA
Rfam family: Eukaryotic small subunit ribosomal RNA
Source: Rfam by way of RNAcentral